Long non-coding RNA from Marmota monax (woodchuck), 5179 nucleotides. RefSeq lists it as uncharacterized. The transcript has 2 exons. The record is from RefSeq and is a predicted model, not a curated record. NCBI's taxonomy places the organism in Eukaryota, Metazoa, Chordata, Mammalia, Rodentia, Sciuridae.
GCAUUACCGCUUGAGCCACAUCCCCAGCCCUCAGUACAAAUUUUGAUUUUUGGUCUUCAUUAUUGAGUUGUGAACAUUAAGCAGCCGUUCUUUAAUGUGCUUUGACACGUCUAUCAUUUUAAAGAAAGUGUGCAUUUUAAGAGGUCAUGUGCUAUGAGCUUUGGCAGAACACAGCACAUUUCUUGGGGAAAUUUAAUAAAGAUGAACGUCUUUGCAUCUUCACAAUGCAUGUGAUCAUGUCAGUCUGGACUGCUUGUUCACUCACAGGGUUCUGGGUAACUGACCAAAUUUCUUACCUGAAAAAAAAAGAAUUUUUAAUUGCUUUUCAUGUUGGAAAACAACAGAGAAGGUGGCAGAUCCUAAAUUAGAGUCUGGAAGCAGGAAACACAGGAGGACAUUGAGGAGUACAAAGAAGAAAGAAAGUUCUAUGGGAACUAUAUAGAAAUCCUAAAUCUGAAAUCAGGAAGUGUCUCACAGGAGAUGCCUUCCUGGCAAUGGUCCAAGGAGGGGGACACACAGGGAAAGGUAGAGUUUGCUAGUUAAGUCAUUAUCACAGUCUUUUCCACAACCUCUAAUUCCAGUUUUACAUAACAGAAGGACGAUCCAGAAGGUUGUGAUGAAAUAGAAAGUGUGAAGAGAAAUGAAGAACAGGUUCUGAGAAGAAUGAAGUGAGGAAGAGCUAAAGCUGCUAAACAGAUAGGCACAGAGAGGAGGGAAGCGAGCUACUAGUGCAGCCCCUCAACAACUGCAGAAAGGCACCUUGGGAGAUGGGAGCAUCAGAGAAUAGGGGAGCAGCUGGGAAUAAGCAGAUAAAGCAGAGUAUCAGCCAGAAGUAAAACAAAGCUAAAGAGAGGCGACAACAGAGCCAGAGAUGAGAUGUGAAUGGGUUAGAGAGAGAGAGAACAAUGCUGAGGGGCUGGAAAGGAUGACAUUUGGAAUGAGCUUAAAACUAGAUGGAUACUUUAAGAGAGGGAGGGUGGUUGAGUGAAUGGAGCAACUGAAGAGGAUCCAUCAAGGGAAAAGCCAAUAAGAUAGGCAUUGUUGUCAGGCAUGGUGGAGCAUGCCUGUAUUCCCAGUGGCUUGGAGGAUCAAAAUUUCAAGGACAGCCUCAGCAAACAGUGAGACCCUGUGUCAUAAUAAAAAAAUUAAAAAGGGGCCUGGGGACAUAGCUCAGUUGGUAGAAUGCCUGCUUCAUAUGCACAAGGCCCUGAGUUCAAUCCCAGCACCCCCAAAAAAAAUUAAAAAGGGCUGGGGAUAUGACUCAGUGGCAGAGCACCACUGGGUUCUAUCUCCAGUACCAAAGCGGCGUGGGUGGGGGAGACAGAUGGCACUGUGCAAAGCCAUUCUAAUGCUGAUCACCUGCAUUGAGAUGAAAUACCACCAGUUGAGGCCACAGGCCUCACUACACUGCUCACACUUCAUACCGGCUGCAACUCUGGGAUUCCCAGGCCACUCACACCAGUCCCAGAACCAUCCUCAAGUCCAGAUUCACAUGUCUCAGAUCUUAAGUUCAACAAGCCUCAGAUUCAAUUGCUAUUCCUGUCAGCCUGUUCCUCUUCUAGCCUAAUGGAACCACUCUGCAUUGGCCACAAUCACCAAAGCAACAAGCAAGCCAGGCAACACAUGUUCUAAUUUCACAUUUCAUUGCAAGAAAGUCCACAGCCUGCUGCAAGAGGUAUCAGCAAUAGCAUGACUUGAUUGUCCACGAUUCCCAGUUUGGGAACCCUGAAUUUCCUUUCUCCAUAUUAACACAUUCCAGAAGAGGAGAAAUGCCUUCCUGGUAAGGGAUAUAGAGCUUACCUGUAAACUGACUUUUAAUGUGCAUCCUCUGAGCAAACUGUCCCAUUCACAAAAACUCCCACCAGCACUAUAACUGCAUCCUUUACUAUCAUCACCUCUACAGUAAGAUGGUGAUGGUCCCCAUCACAUCCUGAACCAUCAGCAGAAAGCAGGGGCUCCAUAGAGAGGACUUAAUGCAGCUUUGUGCAUACCACCGUUGUCAAUGACGUGUCUACUCCUGGCUUAUCACUUUCCAAUUAGGAGAGCAUAAAACACAAAUUUGAACACUUAUUUGACUCCUAUGGAGUAUUGUAAGCAAAAGUAGAGAAAACACAUGAAUAGAAAAACUGAGCAGGGAUUUACUCGUUUUCUUCUGCUCUUGGAAAACAUGGAAGAUGUGGAAACAGGUGCAGAUCUGGGGAUGGAAAAUGCAAGCACUGGGGCCAGGGCUGUGGCUCAGUGGCCGAGCGCUUCCCUAGCCUUCCCUUCGUGAGGCACUGGGUUUGAUCCCUGGCACCGUAUAAAAAUAAAAGCAAAUAAAUAAAUAUAUUGUGUCCAUCUACAACUAAAAAAAAAAAACCUAUUUUUUAAAAGGACACCUCAUGGGAGGCUGUCCCAUUAGGCCUUCCCCACCUACAUGUUUCUAGCAGUGAACGAAUAAGUGGGAGUCUCAGGGUGAAUGAACUUCAAAUCCAAAUGAAAACAUCUGCCAUCAUUUAAAUGUCAGCUGAAAAAGAAAUUCUGCUCUACAACACUCAUCUGUUUUCUUACUCUUUUAACCACUUAAGAUCAUAAAAUCCAUAGGAUUCUCUGAAUAACGAAUGCAGUCAGCAUGGUUGGACUUUGUAGAAACUUGAGUGGCGCUGCUCAAAGGGGUAUUUUAUUAAGAAACUGUGACUUGAGUGGAAUACAGUGGAAGGCAUGCUGGCCUGGAAGUGCCCACAAACCAGCCGAGACCUUGAUGAAGCCCACGUCAAGCCCAAGAUUCCUCCAUCGAAUGAGGCAAUAAGAGACUUGUCCUCACUACACGGCUUGAUUCUGCAAGGACAGAUCUGAGAGGGAAAGUCAAAGAUCUGAGGUGCUCCUGGAGGUUGACACACCUGGAGACACUGGAGCAUAAGUGGGGGGGGGGGAGGAGUGCAGGCAGAAGUCCCGGCAGUCCCAGUGACUGCUGCCCCCCAUCUGUCUCUCCUGAAGCCACUAAACCCUGCCCUGCCUCGCGCAAUAACCCGCCACGCGGUUCCUGCACUCACUACCUGCACCUCCUGGGAAUGCGCAGCUGUGGCCUUUCAGCUCCCGAGGGGUCAGCGGUGACCGGGUCCCCGCUGCUGAUGGUUGCUGCUCUGGACGGAUCUGGGUGCAGCCGAUUCCGAGGGCCAUUACGGGUCCAGAGGAGAACCGGGACUACGGUUCCUGGGGCCAUUAUUGCUCCCGAGCAGGCCGAGGCGCGGAUGCUUCCAGAGGCCACUGCUGCUCCCAGGCUUCCGACCUCCCCUCGCCAAGCAGGUGUGCUCCAAGGGCCCAGGCCGCGCCUCCCUCCAGGUCCCAGAGUCUCCAGCUCCGGACUCAGCACUGCGGCUUGAGGGUGGACCCGGCGGCUCCGGUGGGUCUUCACUCCUUAGGGAAUGUCGAAAAUGUCUCCGCCUCAUCCAGGGGUUCAGAGGCGCUUUGCUGUGAGCCCCUGGCCGCCGGGAACCGCGCGCUCAUUUGUCUCUAGUCCCUUUCUGCGUUCGGUGGCUGGCCGCGUGUUUGGUCCAGGAGCCAAGGUCCUCUCUUUGCACAGAGCCUCGAGUUGUGACAUGAAGGAGAGAAUGUGUCCUAUUCACUGAACCAAGAUGCUAGAAGAAGUUCCCCCUCAAAGUCUAGGCUAUUCCAGAUGCCCAGCAUUGCUUUCCAAGGAAAGGAAAGAAGACCGAAACCGUGGCUUUUCCAGAUGGCACAACGAACGCGCUUCGACUGCAAAAGAAAAAAAAAAAAAACAGCACACACAAACGAAAAAGAACACCUGUGGCCAUGCCUCACCAAGGUCACGUUUAGGGUUAGCUCAAGAAACUGAGCUUGUCAACUUCAGUAACCGAUUGUUUCUCCCCUUUCUUUGCAAUUCUAGCUCAGUUUGCCAGCCUAAGUGCCAAAGACCAUCAAUGUCCAGGGACACAAUUCUUACCACAGCAAAGGGACCAGAUGCUCAAUGUGGAAAAUCAGAAACUUAACUCUUGUUGCAGUCAUCAGUGGUCCUUAAGAAUGCAGAGGAAAAGAACCAGAAGAUUUCUGUCCAAUGCAUCUUGCCUUAUCUUUUUUUUUUAACACAAAGAAACUUAAUGCUGUAUUUGAAAGCAAACACACACACACACACACACACACACACACAAGGGGACAGACCUUGAGGGACCCCCCUAUGCUUUAUUAAGCAACGGAGGGGCACUUUUUCAGGAGGAAAAUGGCAACUGGUUACAAUGGGGAUCUGAUUUUUAUAGAGUUAAGUGAGACUUAAUCAUACACACUUAAUCAUAGCAGAAUAUGUGGGCUGGGCAGUCAGAGAAAUAGUUGUAGAAUGGGAAAUUGUGAAAGUCCAGAGCCCAUUACUUUUCUUUUCUCCCUGCGGGUUGUUGUUUUCCAUACCCUUCUGUAUUAAUAAAUUCAGUGUGCAGUUUAAUUGGGGUAGUUUCAAAAGUCAUGAUUUUACAAUGAGUAAGUGCAGACUUUAAAAAAAAAAAAACUUCUUGAAGGUUGAGUGUGUCUACAAUGAAAUCGUACUUCUUGGCAGUUGGUAAAUUAUCUACUCUAACAUCUAUCAAAUUUGAAUUCCACUACAUUUAUUUUUUGCCAAAAGAUGAGUCAUAUUUGUUUGAAAUCUGAGACAGUAUGUUGAAUUUUGUACAUCUGUCCAAGUUUAUUUCUGCCAGCCGUGGAAAUCCUUCCGUGGACAUCACAACACUACAUUUAAGGUUAGUGUUGGUGACUUGCAAGUCCCUCAGAACCAAAAUUUUAAGGUUCUGAAUGUAGAUGGGGUGUCAACUAAGAGUUGCCAAAGGAGCCUGCUCUUCUCCCUUAAGACUUCCCCAAGAGUUCCAAAGAACUCACUGGCAAGGGCUCUGGACUGCUUGCUAUCCAAGUGUGACUGGAGGGACUGUAAUGAUUACUUUGGAUAUGAGACCCUACUUUUCUGAGAAACAGAGCACAACUUAUCUAUCACUUUCAUUUGCAGUUCCCAAAAGAUUGCCACAACCAUGUCCAUGCUCAGAUUCUAAUGAUUUUUCCUAUCAAUAUUGGAUAGUAAAGUGAUUUACAAUUCUUUUUAAAUUGAAAGCACCAAUUACCAUUCCUAAUAUUCUUUGUUUUUAACUGAGCUCUUGCAUGACUUAUGUUAUUAUCCUAAAUAAAUGCUUUAAUAAACACAGAA